GUGAGGAAUAUUGGUCAAUGGGCGAGAGCCUGAACCAGCCAAGUCGCGUGAAGGAAGAAGGAUCUAUGGUUCGUAAACUUCUUUUGCAGGGGAAUAAAGUGCGGGACGUGUCCUGUUUUGUAUGUACCCUGAGAAUAAGGAUCGGCUAACUCCGUGCCAGCAGCCGCGGUAAUACGGAGGAUCCGAGCGUUAUCCGGAUUUAUUGGGUUUAAAGGGUGCGUAGGUGGUUUGAUAAGUCAGCGGUGAAAGUUUGCAGCUUAACUGUAAAAAUGCCGUUGAAACUGUCGGACUUGAGUGUAAAUGAGGUAGGCGGAAUGCGUGGUGUAGCGGUGAAAUGCAUAGAUAUCACGCAGAACUCCGAUUGCGAAGGCAGCUUACUAAGCUACAACUGACACUGAAGCACGAAAGCGUGGGGAUCAAACAGGAUUAGAAACCCGUGUAGUCC
This 445-nucleotide ribosomal RNA is filed under the name uncultured bacterium. Its description in RNAcentral is "partial 16S ribosomal RNA". It matches the Rfam family "Bacterial small subunit ribosomal RNA", at positions 354 to 796 of the family's 1533-position model. The record is from RNAcentral.